AUGUCUUCUCUAAUUUUGAUCGUGCUUCAGUUUAGAGUAUGGUUAUACUUUUGCUUAGGGGUAAUUGCUUUUCUUACUGGUGCUCCUGAUUAUGAAGAUGGUCAACUAGACACUAAGAGAUAUGGUGAGCAAUAUGCUAGCAAAGGGGAAGAUGUUGACCUCAUGUUGCUCCCUGAGCAGAUACCUUCCUAUAGAGAUCUGGCUUACGAUGUCUUGGGCCUGUACCACAGAUUAGGCCGCACACUCUUCAGUCCAGCCAGUGUAAGCACCAUCACUGCAUAUUUCCCUUCAGAAUUCUGA
Molecule: ribosomal RNA, 300 nt
Filed under: Triticum aestivum (bread wheat)
Lineage: Eukaryota; Viridiplantae; Streptophyta; Magnoliopsida; Poales; Poaceae
Description: partial small subunit ribosomal RNA
Source: RNAcentral